GGACAUGAGGGCGAUCUGGCUGCAAAAUCUGUCACCAGUGUUGAUUGGGCUGAUCUGGCCGGCUGAGCAGUGUCCCCCCCUUCCCUCCCACUGCAUGUGUCCUCCCAAAGUUGUGCCCUGGUCUAACAGGACAACCUCCCACACACAGGAGGACCAUUUUCCUGGUCAAGGAUAAAUGGGCUGCUUCGCUCUCCUGCUAAAACCUCCAAACAAGCUCUCAAGAAACUUGCCAUGAGCUGCCGUGUGAUGGCGCACGCCUGUAAUCCCAGCACUCAGGAAGCUGAUGCAGGUGGAUUGCCACAAGUU
RNAcentral lists this small nuclear RNA (306 nucleotides) under Heterocephalus glaber (naked mole-rat). Its description in RNAcentral is "7SK RNA". It matches the Rfam family "7SK RNA". Rfam says of the family: 7SK was discovered as an abundant small nuclear RNA in the mid-70s but a possible function has only recently been suggested. Two independent studies have found that 7SK RNA binds the CDK9/cyclin T complex (known as elongation factor P-TEFb). The record is from Rfam by way of RNAcentral. Lineage: Eukaryota; Metazoa; Chordata; Mammalia; Rodentia; Bathyergidae.